This 1422-nucleotide long non-coding RNA is filed under the name Chloebia gouldiae (Gouldian finch). Its description in RNAcentral is "Erythrura gouldiae (Gouldian finch) lncRNA (ENSEGOG00005006743.1)". The record is from RNAcentral. Lineage: Eukaryota; Metazoa; Chordata; Aves; Passeriformes; Passeridae.
ACCAGGCAGGCUCCCCAGGGCAGCUGCGGGCCACUUCCCGUGCCUUCAGAGUGCACAGUGCUGGCAAUCGCUGGGACCAGCUGUAGGGGCUGGGGAGGAUGGAGUGUGGUUGCAGGAGGCUACUAGAACAGCUUGGAUGUCUUUUCCAGGAAGCUGGGUGCACACUCCCCGCUUCUUCUUUCUCUGUGGUCGUUAGGAGUUCAGCUUAAAUCAGUGCUGCAAACAGGAAAGAGUCAUUCUACACCACACAGUGCAAGCACGGAUACAAAAAGGGAGGAGGACGGUGGGUAGCAAGGAGCAGUCACUCCUGAGGAGCAGCCCUUCCUGACUGCAGCACGCUGCAGAUGUGUGCUUUGUUAGAGGCUGGACUGACAGUCCCUUUCACCCUGCACUCUGCACCUCCCUCCCUGCUUGAUGGGAAGGCUGUUCCUCGGAUGCUGGAGUUCAUUCCUGCACACAGAACACUGCUCAGCAGAGGAAGCUGUGGGAGGGCCAUCCUGCUGCCCCAGCUGGAUGGAGUGGUAUCUUUCGUCCAGAGCACCAUAAAGGGUAAAGAAAAAAAUGUAUGGCGAUAAUGGGAAGACUGAUUGGGAAGUGUGUGAUAGAGGCCAUCAAGUUUUAAACUUCAAGGAAACCUCUGAAAUCCCAAGGUUUUCAGUGUGCUGCUUGGUCACUGUUUCCAUCAGAUGGCCCUCCACCAGAUUCCUGGGAAGAUGUCACCUGGCAAUCACAUGAAGCACAGGUUCCCCAAGGUUCAUGCUCUUCCUUGCAGAGCCUUGCAAAGCCUGCAGGAUGAUUUGGGCUGGCUGAGGAGCAGUAGGAGUUGCUUUCUCUUCAUCUUCCUCUCCAGGCUACAUUCCCUGCUAAUAUGGCAGGCAGCUCCCUCCUGUAUGUAGUUUCCAUGAAGUCAGGAAAUAUGAGUAGCAGAGAAGUGGGAAACUCUGGAUCCACUAGGCAAGCCUUGACUCUCCUUGGGGGAGAUGUGUGUGAAAGCUGUGGGUGGUCUGAAUUUUGGGUGCUUGAGCAGGAGGCUUUGGGUAUUGGUGUGGAUAUUCAAGUUGCUUUGAGAAUACUUCAGGCUGAAUGAGAAGUGAAUUCCCUAAAUCUCUCCCCUAGAGUCUCAUCAACUUUCAGCAAAAUUGUCCCUCAGAGGCAAUUCAGCUAUCUUCAUUCAUGGAGUUCUCAGCGAUGCUCUGCCAUUGAGUUCCCUUUGAAAAGGUUUUUGUGCCGUAAUCUGCUGGCUGGUUACUUAACUGAUGCAGCUUACAGACCUCUGCUGGUUGUUGCAGGUCUUUUAAUUUUUAAGUGUUUAUUUCUGCUCCUUUGUGAAGCGUAAGGAAAUGGAUGAUUAGCAAAAUUCUUCCCAGUAUUUGAGAAGCAUUAGUAAAUGUUCAAUAAAGGGCAAUCACACUGUUGUUUUCA